Molecule: ribosomal RNA, 439 nt
Filed under: uncultured bacterium
Lineage: Bacteria
Description: bacterial SSU rRNA
Rfam family: Bacterial small subunit ribosomal RNA
Source: RNAcentral
GAUGAACGCUGGCGGCGUGCUUAACACAUGCAAGUCGAACGAACCUUCGGGUUAGUGGCGGACGGGUGAGUAACGCGUGAGAAUCUGCCCUCAGGAGGGGGACAACAGCUGGAAACGGCUGCUAAUACCCCAUAUGCCGCGAGGUGAAAUGAAUUUCGCCUGAGGAUGAGCUCGCGUCUGAUUAGCUAGUUGGUGUAGGUAAUGGCUCACCAAGGCAUCGAUCAGUAGCUGGUCUGAGAGGAUGAUCAGCCACACUGGGACUGAGACACGGCCCAGACUCCUACGGGAGGCAGCAGUGGGGAAUUUUCCGCAAUGGGCGAAAGCCUGACGGAGCAACGCCGCGUGAGGGAUGAAGGCCUCUGGGCUGUAAACCUCUUUUAUCAAGGAGGAAGAUCUGACGGUACUUGAUGAAUAAGCCACGGCUAAUUCCGUGCCAGCA